Beta vulgaris subsp. vulgaris (sugar beet) is the source of this 887-nucleotide long non-coding RNA. RefSeq lists it as uncharacterized. The transcript is spliced from 2 exons. The record is from RefSeq and is a predicted model, not a curated record. NCBI's taxonomy places the organism in Eukaryota, Viridiplantae, Streptophyta, Magnoliopsida, Caryophyllales, Amaranthaceae.
GUGUAUUUUAAUUUAACAAUUCGAGUGCAUUGCAUUGAACUUACAAAUUGAGGUUUGUGUGGAUCCUAAUAGAGGUUAAUGAAAGAUCCUCUAGUUCUCGAGCUAACAACAAAGCCUAUUCAAUAUAAAGAUUCAAUCUUUAUGCCCUAUUUCAUAUAAAGAUCGAAUCUUUCAACAAGUAGAAUGAGAUUCGAGUGUUUUGAGACUUGUUAUUGAUUUUACUAUCCACAAACACAUCAUUUGCUUUAUAAUUUUUUUUUAGUUUUUAAUGAUAUGGGGGUCCUAUUAUGUUUGUGAGUCUAAUUCCCUCAAAUCAGGUGUGUGUGUGUUUUAAUUUAACAAUUCGAGUGCAUUGCAUUGAACUUACAAAUUGAGGUUUUUGUGGAUCCUAAUAGAGGUUAAUGAAAGAUCCUUAGUUCUCGAGCUAACAACAAAGCCUAUUCAAUAUAAAGAUUCAAUCUUUAUGCCCUAUUUCAUAUAAAGAUCGAAUCUUUCAACAAGUAGAAGUGAGAUUCGAGUGUUUUAGACUUGUUAUUGAUUUUACUAUCCACAAACACAUCAUUUGCUUUAUAAUUUUUUUUUAGUUUUUAAUGAUAUGGGGGUCCUAUUAUGUUUGUGAGUCUAAUUCCCUCAAAUCAGGUGUGUGUGUAUUUUAAUUUAACAAUUCGAGUGCAUUGCAUUGAACUUACAAAUUGAGGUUUGUGUGGAUCCUAAUAGAGGUUAAUGAAAGAUCCUUUAGUUCUCGAGCUAACAACAAAGCCUAUUCAAUAUAAAGAUUCAAUCUUUAUGCCCUAUUUCAUAUAAAGAUCGAAUCUUUCAACAAGUAGAAGUGAGAUUCGAGUGUUUUGAGACUUGUUAUUGAUUUUACUAUCCACAAACACAUCAUU